CUCUGUGACUCCUACGGGAGGCAGCAGUGGGGAAUAUUGGACAAUGGGCGCAAGCCUGAUCCAGCCAUGCCGCGUGAGUGAUGAAGGCCUUAGGGUUGUAAAGCUCUUUUGUCCGGGACGAUAAUGACGGUACCGGAAGAAUAAGCCCCGGCUAACUUCGUGCCAGCAGCCGCGGUAAUACGAAGGGGGCUAGCGUUGCUCGGAAUCACUGGGCGUAAAGGGCGCGUAGGCGGCCUUGUAAGUUGGGGGUGAAAGCCCGUGGCUCAACCACGGAAUUGCCUUCGAUACUGCUUGGCUUGAGUGUGGUAGAGGUUGGUGGAACUGCGAGUGUAGAGGUGAAAUUCGUAGAUAUUCGCAAGAACACCGGUGGCGAAGGCGGCCAACUGGACCAUCACUGACGCUGAGGCGCGAAAGCGUGGGGAGCAAACAGGAUUAGAUACCCUGGUAG
Molecule: ribosomal RNA, 448 nt
Filed under: uncultured bacterium
Lineage: Bacteria
Description: bacterial SSU rRNA
Rfam family: Bacterial small subunit ribosomal RNA
Source: RNAcentral